CGCCCAUUAGCUAGCCCCUUAACUGACAAUAACAAGUAAUUAUUAAUUAACCCGUGAACCCCACGAAGCAUAACAUAAACAAACCAUUUUUCCCCCUUAGUAUGGGCGACAGAAAAGGGAUAGAGGAGCUAUAGAGAAAGUACCGUAAGGGAACGCUGAAAGAGAAAUGAAAUAAACCAGUAAAGCCCAAAAAAGCAGAGAUUUUCCCUCGUACCUUUUGCAUCAUGAUUUAGCUAGUAAAACUUAAGCAAAGAGAACUUUAGUUUAAUACCCCGAAACUAUGGUGAGCUACUCCGAGACAGCCUUCAAUAGGGCGAACCCGUCUCUGUGGCAAAAGAGUGGGACGAGCUCCGAGUAGUGGUGACAGACCUAUCGAACCUAGUUAUAGCUGGUUGCCUGAGAAAUGGAUAGGAGUUCAGCCUCAUGGCUUCUCCAGUCGAACUUUGCCUACAGGCAUUAGAUGACAAAGUGAAACCAUGAGAGUUAAUCAAAGGAGGCACAGCUCCUUUGAUAAAAGACACAACUUUUACAGGAGGGUACAGAUCAUAAUUUCAUCAAGGCCUGGUGUCCUGGUGGGCCUAAAAGCAGCCACCCAUAAAAAAAGCGUUAAAGCUCAAGCACGCAGCCUCCCUAUUAUAACGAUAAUAGUAUCUUAACCCCCUGGCCCCCAUCAGGCCGUUCCAUGCCUUCAUGGAAGUGAUUAUGCUGAAAUGAGUAAUAAGAGAGCCAGACUCUCUCCCUGCACAAGUGUACCUCGGACCGGACUAUCCACCGAGAAUUGACGGCCCCAGUAAAAGAGGGAAGUGAUGAACGAAAGAGAUAACAAGAAGAACCCUCAAAAGCUUUCCCGCACCGUUGAUCCCACACUGGAGUGCUACCGGGAAAGACUAAAAGAAAAAGAAGGAACUCGGCAAACACCUAGAGCCCCGCCUGUUUACCAAAAACAUCGCCUCUUGCAAAAUUAACAAAUAAGAGGUCCCGCCUGCCCUGUGACCAGAGUGUUUAACGGCCGCGGUAUCCUGACCGUGCGAAGGUAGCGCAAUCACUUGCUCUUUAAAUGGGGGCCCGUAUGAAUGGCAUAACGAGGGCUUAACUGUCUCCUUUUUCUGGUCAGUGAAAUUGAUUUCCCCGUGCAGAAGCGGGGAUGACACCAUAAGACGAGAAGACCCUAUGGAGCUUUAGACGCAAGGCAGACCACGUUAAUCACCCCCGUUAAAGGAUUAAACUGUUUGGUUACUGUCCGAAUGUCUUCGGUUGGGGCGACCGUGGGGAAAAACAAAACCCCCAUGCGGAACGGGAAUACUAUUCUCCUAGCUAAGAGUCUCCACUCUAAUAAUCAGAACCUCUGACUUUAAUGAUCCGGCAAUGCCGAUCAACGGACCAAGUUACCCUAGGGAUAACAGCGCAAUCCUCUUUUAGAGCCCAUAUCGACAAGGGGGUUUACGACCUCGAUGUUGGAUCAGGACAUCCUAAUGGUGCAGCCGCUAUUAAGGGUUCGUUUGUUCAACGAUUAAUAGUCCUACGUGAUCUGAGUUCAGACCGGAGUAAUCCAGGUCAGUUUCUAUCUAUGCUAUGAUCUUUUCUAGUACGAAAGGACCGAAAAGAAGAGGCCCCUGCUCCAAGUACGCCUCACCUCCAACUGAUGAAAUCAACUAAAACAGUCAAGGGGGCAUGCCACCCUGCCUGAGAUAAUGGCGUGUUAAGGUGGC
This 1709-nucleotide ribosomal RNA is filed under the name Sillago sinica. RNAcentral describes it as "16S ribosomal RNA". It matches the Rfam family "Bacterial large subunit ribosomal RNA". Lineage: Eukaryota; Metazoa; Chordata; Actinopteri; Sillaginidae. The record is from RNAcentral.